AGAGUUUGAUCCUGGCUCAGGAUGAACGCUGGCGGCGUGCCUAAUACAUGCAAGUCGAGCGAACCAAAAAGGAGCUUGCUCCUUUACGGUUAGCGGCGGACGGGUGAGUAACACGUGGGUAACCUGCCCUCAAAACUGGGAUAACAUCGAGAAAUCGGUGCUAAUACCGGAUAAUCAAUAAGACCGCAUGGUCUUAUUAUAAAAGGUGGCUUCGGCUACUAUUUGAGGAUGGGCCCGCGGCGCAUUAGCUAGUUGGUAAGGUAACAGCUUACCAAGGCGACGAUGCGUAGCCGACCUGAGAGGGUGAUCGGCCACAUUGGGACUGAGACACGGCCCAAACUCCUACGGGAGGCAGCAGUAGGGAAUCUUCCGCAAUGGACGCAAGUCUGACGGAGCAACGCCGCGUGAGUGAUGAAGGUUUUCGGAUCGUAAAACUCUGUUGUUAGGGAAGAACAAGUACCGUUCGAAUAGGUCGGUACCUUGACGUUACUCGCAGAAUAAGCACCGGCUAACUCUGUGCCAGCAGCCGCGGUAAUACAGAGGGUGCAAGCGUUAAUCGGAUUUACUGGGCGUAAAGCGCGCGUAGGUGGCCAAUUAAGUCAAAUGUGAAAUCCCCGAGCUUAACUUGGGAAUUGCAUUCGAUACUGGUUGGCUAGAGUAUGGGAGAGGAUGGUAGAAUUCCAGGUGUAGCGGUGAAAUGCGUAGAGAUCUGGAGGAAUACCGAUGGCGAAGGCAGCCAUCUGGCCUAAUACUGACACUGAGGUGCGAAAGCAUGGGGAGCAAACAGGAUUAGAUACCCUGGUAGUCCAUGCCGUAAACGAUGUCUACUAGCCGUUGGGGCCUUUGAGGCUUUAGUGGCGCAGCUAACGCGAUAAGUAGACCGCCUGGGAAGUACGGUCGCAAGACUAAAACUCAAAUGAAUUGACGGGGGCCCGCACAAGCGGUGGAGCAUGUGGUUUAAUUCGAUGCAACGCGAAGAACCUUACCUGGUCUUGACAUAGUAAGAACUUUCCAGAGAUGGAUUGGUGCCUUCGGGAACUUACAUACAGGUGCUGCAUGGCUGUCGUCAGCUCGUGUCGUGAGAUGUUGGGUUAAGUCCCGCAACGAGCGCAACCCUUUUCCUUAUUUGCCAGCGGGUUAAGCCGGGAACUUUAAGGAUACUGCCAGUGACAAACUGGAGGAAGGCGGGGACGACGUCAAGUCAUCAUGGCCCUUACGACCAGGGCUACACACGUGCUACAAUGGUCGGUACAAAGGGUUGCUACCACGCGAGUGGAUGCUAAUCUCAAAAAGCCGAUCGUAGUCCGGAUUGGAGUCUGCAACUCGACUCCAUGAAGUCGGAAUCGCUAGUAAUCGCGGAUCAGAAUGCCGCGGUGAAUACGUUCCCGGGCCUUGUACACACCGCCCGUCACACCAUGGGAGUUUGUUGCACCAGAAGUAGGUAGUCUAACCGUAAGGAGGACGCUUACCACGGUGUGGCCGAUGACUGGGGUGAAGUCGUAACAAGGUA
Molecule: ribosomal RNA, 1510 nt
Filed under: uncultured bacterium
Lineage: Bacteria
Description: bacterial SSU rRNA
Rfam family: Bacterial small subunit ribosomal RNA
Source: RNAcentral